CAAGAGAGGCCGUUUUGGGGCAAAAGAGGCUGUUUUAGGGCAAAAGAGGCAUUUUGGGGCACAGGAAGCCGUUUUUGGGACACAAUAGGCCACAUUUUGGGGCACGGGAAGGCAUUUUGGGGCGUGGGAGGCCCUUUUGGGACAAAGGAUGGGAUUUUGGGGCAAAAGAGGCUGUUUUGGGGUGUGGGAGGCCAUUUUGCGGGCCCGAGAGGCCAUUUUGGGCUGAAAAAGCCCAUUUUUGGCGCCGUUUCGGGGGUGCGCCGGCCCAAAACACCGUUACCAGACCUUCCAAAAUUCCCAUCACCCCUUCAACCCAAAUCAACCCCAAAUCAACCCAAAUGAACCCAAAAUCACCCCAAAUCAACCCAAAUCUCCCCAACCCAACCCAAAUCACCCCACAUUACUCCAAAUCACACCAAAUCUCCCCAAAUCACCCCAACUCAACCCAAAAUCAACCCAAAACAACCCAAAUAGACCCAAAUCAACCCAACUCACCCCAAAUCAACCCAAAAUCAACCCAACUCAACCCCAAAUCAACCCAACCCAACCCAAAUCCACCCCAAAUCAUCCCAACUCACCCCAAAUUAAGCCAAAUCAGCCCAAAUCAGCCCAAAUCAUCCCAAAUCAGCCCAUAUCAACCCAACUCAACCCAAAUCACCCCAAAUCACCCCAAAAUCAGCCCAAAUCAACUCAAAAUCAACCCAAAUCACCCCAAAUCACCCGAAAUCAACCCCAAAUCGACCCAAAUCACCCCGACUCAACCCAAAAUCAGCCCAACUCACCCCAAAUCAUCCCAACUCACCCAAAAUCAACACAAAUCAACCCAACCCAACCCAAAUCAACCCAACCCAAAUCCACCCCAAAUCAUACCAACUCACCCCAACUCAACCCAAAAUCAACCCAAAUCACCCCCAAAUCACCCCAAAUCACCCCAACUCAACCCAAAUCAACCCAAAAUCAACCCAAAUCAGCCCAAAAUCACCCCAAAUCAACCCAAAUCAACCCAAAUCACCUUGACUCACCCCAAAUCACACCAAAUCUCCCCAAAUCACCCCAAAUCACCCCAAAAUCAGC
This 1074-nucleotide long non-coding RNA is filed under the name Anas platyrhynchos platyrhynchos (common mallard). Its description in RNAcentral is "lncRNA (ENSAPLG00000020374.1)". The record is from RNAcentral. Lineage: Eukaryota; Metazoa; Chordata; Aves; Anseriformes; Anatidae.